Molecule: long non-coding RNA, 365 nt
Organism: Zingiber officinale
Lineage: Eukaryota; Viridiplantae; Streptophyta; Magnoliopsida; Zingiberales; Zingiberaceae
Exons: 3
Source: RefSeq, a predicted model, not a curated record
AUGAAGUUAUUUAUUUGUUGGAUUCUCUAAGGCACCGCAUUCAUGAUGAGGAUUGGAAAUAUAUAGUGGAAAUGUAGUUCAUAUUUCUUUUUUAUUAAGCAUUUAUGUUAAUACAAAACUCAUAUAUAAAAGAAUCAUUAACGUAUGAAGGGCCUUAAGAUUGUUUAAUUCAAACAAGGGAAGGAAAGGUAGAAAAAAGGCUAUGUGGGUAAUAGUAAAGGCUCCUCGACAACAAGAUGCCAAACAAUGUGGUUACUAUGUGAUGCGAUUUAUGAGACAAAUUGUUGAAGAAGUUGAAAUUAUCGAAAGAGAUUCACUACGAUCUAUAUUCACACAAGCAGAGUAUUCUCAAGAAGAAAUUGAUG